RNAcentral lists this ribosomal RNA (515 nucleotides) under Saccostrea sp. MIEE2015-6Sa1. RNAcentral describes it as "partial 16S ribosomal RNA". It matches the Rfam family "Bacterial large subunit ribosomal RNA", at positions 1803 to 2612 of the family's 2925-position model. Lineage: Eukaryota; Metazoa; Mollusca; Bivalvia; Ostreida; Ostreidae. The record is from RNAcentral.
UUUUACAAAAACAUCACUAGGAGAAGUUCACUCUUAGCAGUGCCUGCCCAGUGCAAAAUUGUAAACGGCCGCCCUAGCGUGAGGGUGCCAAGGUAGCGAAAUUCCUUGCCUUUUAAUUGUAGGCCUGCAUGAAUGGAUUGACGAGGGUCAAGCUGUCUCUUGCCUUGAUGACGAAAUUGGACUAAAGGUGAAGAUACCUUUAUAGAAAAGUUAGACAAGAAGACCCCGUGCAGCUUUAAAAAAGUUACUUAUUAAGAGUUGUAAGAUUUUUAGGUGGGGCGCCUAGGAAGUAAAACUUAACCUUCUUAUUUGUUAAGAAAGGCUCUCAGGCAUAGACCCGGCAAGUCCGAUCAUGGGAGAAGUUACGCCGGGGAUAACAGGCUUAUCCAUUAGUAGAGCUCGUAUUGGCUAAUGGGAUUGGCACCUCGAUGUUGAAUUAAGGAUGAUAGCUCUAAGGCGUAGAAGCUUUAGAAGUGGGUCUGUUCGACCUUUAAUACCUUACGUGAUCUGAGUCC